This 695-nucleotide non-coding RNA is filed under the name Strongyloides ratti. The record is from RNAcentral. Lineage: Eukaryota; Metazoa; Nematoda; Chromadorea; Rhabditida; Strongyloididae.
AUAAAUUUGAUUAUGGUUAGCGGUCGGGUUAAAAUAGUGUUAUUUAAUUUUAAUUCACUGAGUGGACAAUAGUAUUUAAUCCUGGUAAUGAAUUGCUCGUAUAAACCUUGUACCAGAAUAAUCGGAUAGACUUGGUGAGCUUAUACUCUAAAUGUGUUUUGACCAAAAAUUUUUUUUUUUUUUUUUAGCUGUUUGGUACAAUAAGUUGCUUUUUUUUUUUAUGGUUUGGUUAAUAAGAUUGGAUUUAAAUGACCUAGAUUAGUACCUAGUUAAUCCAAAUUAAUAAGUUUUCGGGAGUAAAGUUGAAUUUAAACCGUAAGAAUAUUGGCGGAUUUAGUAAUUAUCUUUGGAGGUUGAGCUGUAAUUGAGAACCCUCAUUAUCAACUGAUUCUUUUGUCGCAUGUAUGUUCGUUUAUGUGUUUCUUAAAGAUAUACAGAAAAUUUUAUUUCAAUUAUUUGAAUUAAAUGUAAAAACAGAUAAAUACCUGGUAUAUGGAUUAGUUUCGUUUUGACCUACAAUAGUUGAUGCUAUUGGAUAAACUUUAGAGAUAUUGUUUUGAAAUUGUAAAAGACAGUAAAAACUUUUUAAUGUAGUUUUGAAGAUAAAAAUUAGAUCGUACAAAUCAUCCAUCAAUUGCCCAAAGGGGAGUAAGUUGUAGUAAAGUAGGUGUAGGGGAAUCUGUACCUAGUAGUCG